Molecule: ribosomal RNA, 294 nt
Filed under: uncultured bacterium
Lineage: Bacteria
Description: partial 16S ribosomal RNA
Rfam family: Bacterial small subunit ribosomal RNA
Source: RNAcentral
GGAUUAGAUACCCUGGUAGUCCACGCCGUAAACGAUGAGUACCAGCUGUUUGUGAGUUCGAUAUCACAAGUGGUGCAGCUAACGCAUUGAGUACUCCGCCUGGGAACUACGGUCGCAAGACUAAAACUCAAAGGAAUAGACGGGGACCCGCACAAGCGGUGGAACAUGUGGUUUAAUUCGACGCAACGCGAAAAACCUUACCUGGGUUUGACAUCCUUUGCCAGUCUUGGAAACAAGAUUUUCUCUUCGGAGACAAAGAGACAGGUGCUGCAUGGCUGUCGUCAGCUCGUGCUG